AAGCAACGCGAAGAACCUUACCAGGUCUUGACAUCUUUUGACAAUCCUAGAGAUAGGACGUCCCCUUCGGGGGCAGAGUGACAGGUGGUGCAUGGUUGUCGUCAGCUCGUGUCGUGAGAUGUUGGGUUAAGUCCCGCAACGAGCGCAACCCUUGAUUUUAGUUGCCAGCAUUCAGUUGGGCACUUUAAGGUGACUGCCGGUGACAAACCGGAGGAAGGUGGGGAGGACGUCAAAUCAUCAUGCCCCUUAUGACCUGGGCUACACACGUGCUACAAUGGACAGAACAAAGGGCAGGGAAACCGGGAGGUUAAGCCAAUCCCACAAAUCUGUUCUCAGUUCGGAUCGCAGUCUGCAACUCGACUGCGUGAAGCUGGAAUCGCUAGUAAUCGCGGAUCAGCAUGCCGCGGUGAAUACGUUCCCGGGCCUUGUACACACCGCCCGUCACACCACGAGAGUUUGUAACACCCGAAGUCGGUGAGG
This 480-nucleotide ribosomal RNA is filed under the name Bacillus sp. MAL 34. Its description in RNAcentral is "bacterial SSU rRNA". It matches the Rfam family "Bacterial small subunit ribosomal RNA", at positions 954 to 1435 of the family's 1533-position model. The record is from RNAcentral. Lineage: Bacteria; Bacillati; Bacillota; Bacilli; Caryophanales; Bacillaceae.